Molecule: small RNA, 125 nt
Filed under: Marmota monax (woodchuck)
Lineage: Eukaryota; Metazoa; Chordata; Mammalia; Rodentia; Sciuridae
Source: RNAcentral
GCCGGGUGCUGUGGCACACACCUGUAAUCCCAGUAGCUUGGGAGGUUAAGACAGGAGGAUCACCAGUUCAAAGCAGUCUUAGCCACUUAGCGAGGCCCUAGCAACUCAGUGAGACCCUGUCUCUA